Molecule: long non-coding RNA, 673 nt
Organism: Camelina sativa (false flax)
Lineage: Eukaryota; Viridiplantae; Streptophyta; Magnoliopsida; Brassicales; Brassicaceae
Product: anaphase-promoting complex subunit 11
Source: RefSeq, a predicted model, not a curated record
AGUUUGUUCAAACUGCCUGCAUUGUUGGAUUUGUUGCACAAGUUAAAGAAGAAAUCGAAAUUGUUGCACUUGACUUUCUAUGCUACUUCUGUCCUGCAUACCAUUAAAACAGAAUGGCAUGCAGUUGCUUCAUGGACAUGGGAUGCACAAGACGAAACAUGUGGGAUAUGUCGGAUGGCUUUUGAUGGUUGUUGUCCUGAUUGCAAACUUCCUGGAGAUGAUUGCCCUCUAAUUUGGGGAGCUUGCAACCACGCAUUUCAUCUUCACUGUAUAUUGAAAUGGGUGAAUUCGCAGACGAGUCAAGCUCAUUGCCCAAUGUGCCGAAGAGAAUGGCAGUUCAAAGAGUAAGCAAAUUAUAAGGAGGAUUAUAGUCUCAAGCUCUCAUCAUGGUGGAUGCUUUGGAAUGAUCUCUUGAAUCUGUAUUUUGGUGUUUGAGUUUUAAUCGUUGCACAAAGGCAAGAGAGAUUUGGGAUUAUUUUUGGAGCUUGGGGUUAGUUUGAUUGAUUGGAACAUUCAUAGAUGAAGCAACUUGGUGUAAGCUUCAUCUCUAAUCUCUAUGAUGUUUGUUUGUGUUAGUUAGUUAUUUUGUGUCAUAUCGCAUUUGAAUUUGUUAAUAUUUUGCUUGAUUUUUAUUUUUCAUUAGUUUAUUGAAACGGAAAACAUUGAUGAUGAA